Molecule: ribosomal RNA, 301 nt
Filed under: uncultured bacterium
Lineage: Bacteria
Description: partial 16S ribosomal RNA
Rfam family: Archaeal small subunit ribosomal RNA
Source: RNAcentral
CAGCAGCCACGGGAAUACCAGCACCUCGAGUGGUCAGGAGGUUUAUUGGGCCUAAAGCAUCCGUAGCCGGUUGCAUAAGUUUUCGGUUAAAUCUAUGCGCUUAACGUAUAGGCCGCCGAAAAUACUGUGCAGCUAGGGAGUGGGAGAGGUACACGGUACUCGAUAGGAAGGGGUAAAAUCCUUUGAUCUAUUGAUGACCACCUGUGGCGAAGGCGGUGUACCAGAACACGUUCGACGGUGAGGGAUGAAAGCUGGGGGAGCAAACCGGAUUAGAUACCCCUGUAGUCCCUGUCUCUUAUAC